AAAAACAUUUCUUAUAAAAUUUUUAUAAGUAAAAUCUGCUCCAUGUUUAUAAAUAGCCGCAGAAUAUUAACUGUGCUAAGGUAGCAUAAUCAUUUACCUUUUAAUUAAAGGUUUGUAUGAAAGAUUUUACAAUUAAAUUAUUUUUUUAUAUAUAUAUAUUAAAUUUAAAUUAAAAAUAAAAAUGUUUUUAUAGACAAAAAAGACGAUAAGACCCUAUUGAACUUUACUAAUGUUUAGCUGGGGAAGCUAAUUAAAUACAAUUUUAAUAUUCUAUAAAAUAUAGAUUUCUAAUAAAAUUAUCUUAAUCAAGUUACCAUAGGGAUAACAGCGUAAUACAAUUUUAAAGCUCAUAUUAAAAAUUAAGUUUGCGACCUCGAUGUUGAAUUAGAAUACCUAUAAAACGCAGUAGUUUUGAAAGGAGGUCUGU
RNAcentral lists this ribosomal RNA (427 nucleotides) under Nihonella chika. Its description in RNAcentral is "partial large subunit ribosomal RNA". The record is from RNAcentral. Lineage: Eukaryota; Metazoa; Arthropoda; Arachnida; Araneae; Linyphiidae.